GUCAGACAACCGGCAACUAGAAGACAACUGGAAAAGACGGACACAUCCUGAUGUGGGAACUCCUUCUAACUGCACUGUUGAACUGCUCCUGUAGUCUUGUUAUUUAAAGACAGAUAACUGAUUGAGAGAUAAAUGACAAAGAAAAAUGGAUGGCCAGUUUCACUGAGAAUAAGGAAGAGAAAAAGAUAGAAAGCAAAAUGAGAAAAAAGAAUCCAUAUUAAUUGUACAUAGGAAUUCAAGAAAUUACAAGAAAUAAGCUAGGGGAGGAAGAGAAUUGUUUGAAGGCAAAACCUCAGAGAAAAUAGCUAAAUAAUUAUGGUUUAAACAUGGCCUGAAGUGAAAGGGAGCCCUGAGGCUGGAGAUAAUUUUCCAGGAAUCAUAAAGGCAUCUAAUGAAGCUUUUGAAAUCAAGUUACAAAGAGCUGGAAACUUCUGAGAGGCACAAUAUGUAUGGCAGCUCACAAUCUUUCAGAUCAGAAGGACCCGUUCUCCUGUUCUAUGUCGAGCAUGGAAAAGAACACUUCGUGAUCCAUCUACAAUCGAAGAAAAUUCUUUCAGGCAGUGUGCUUUUUGUAAUGAAGGAUUAACACGAAUUAACAAUAAAUUUUUUAAGUUUGAAAAUGUCACAGAAAUAUUUAGGGAACACACACAUACAGGUAGAACCAGUAUCUUGUUUAUUUACCCUGACAAUUCACUAUCUUUGUGUGGUUUUAUACAGGUGUUGACUUUCAAAGCUAAAAAAAAAAAAAAAAAAAAGGAUGUAAUCCCAGCUACUCGGGAGGCUGAGGCUGAGGCUGAGGCAGGAGAAUUGCCUGAACCCAGGAGGCGGAGGUUGCAGUGAGCCAAGAUCGCACCAUUGCACUCCAGCCUGGGUAACAAGAGUGAAAUUCCGUCUCAAAAAAAAGGAAAUAUUCAAUAUUCUCUGUCUUCCCUUAAAAAAAUCCCACUGGAAUUGAACAUAGCUAUAACUUGGGUUAUACAUAUUUUAGGAUCACCUAAAAUAACCUACUAUCAAUUUAAUAUAGCAGAAGACAGUCUAGCUACAUACUUAAAACUAAUACAGAUGAAAAUCAUGAGUUUUUUUUAUGUUUAUCCAAAUAUUAUCCUGAUAUCUAUGGAGCCCCAUAUUAUUUGAAGCUAAGGUACUCCUCAUUAUAUUAUAUAUAACCCAGCAUGACAUUUUGGUGAACAUAAGAGUAACUAGCACUUCAAAGUUUUAUGUUGCCAUUCUUUUAUUUUUAACUGGAACCUGCACCUUAGAAAUGAG
Molecule: long non-coding RNA, 1266 nt
Filed under: Callithrix jacchus (white-tufted-ear marmoset)
Lineage: Eukaryota; Metazoa; Chordata; Mammalia; Primates; Cebidae
Description: lncRNA (ENSCJAG00000069603.1)
Source: RNAcentral